GACGAACGCUGGCGGCGUGCUUAACACAUGCAAGUCGAACGGAAAGGCCCUGCUUUUGUGGGGUGCUCGAGUGGCGAACGGGUGAGUAACACGUGAGUAACCUGCCCUUGACUUUGGGAUAACUUCAGGAAACUGGGGCUAAUACCGGAUAGGAGCUCCUGCUGCAUGGUGGGGGUUGGAAAGUUUCGGCGGUUGGGGAUGGACUCGCGGCUUAUCAGCUUGUUGGUGGGGUAGUGGCUUACCAAGGCUUUGACGGGUAGCCGGCCUGAGAGAGUGACCGGCCACAUUGGGACUGAGAUACGGCCCAGACUCCUACGGGAGGCAGCAGUGGGGAAUAUUGCACAAUGGGCGGAAGCCUGAUGCAGCAACGCCGCGUGCGGGAUGACGGCCUUCGGGUUGUAAACCGCUUUCGCCUGUGACGGAGCGUGAGUGACGGUAAUAGGUAAAGAAGCACCGGCUAACUACGUG
Molecule: ribosomal RNA, 468 nt
Filed under: uncultured bacterium
Lineage: Bacteria
Description: partial 16S ribosomal RNA
Rfam family: Bacterial small subunit ribosomal RNA
Source: RNAcentral